GACGAACGCUGGCGGCGUGCUUAACACAUGCAAGUCGAACGGAAAGGCCCUGCUUUUGUGGGGUGCUCGAGUGGCGAACGGGUGAGUAACACGUGAGUAACCUGCCCUUGACUUUGGGAUAACUUCAGGAAACUGGGGCUAAUACCGGAUAGGAGCUCCUGCUGCAUGGUGGGGGUUGGAAAGUUUCGGCGGUUGGGGAUGGACUCGCGGCUUAUCAGCUUGUUGGUGGGGUAGUGGCUUACCAAGGCUUUGACGGGUAGCCGGCCUGAGAGGGUGACCGGCCACAUUGGGACUGAGAUACGGCCCAGACUCCUACGGGAGGCAGCAGUGGGGAAUAUUGCACAAUGGGCGGAAGCCUGAUGCAGCAACGCCGGGUGCGGGAUGACGGCCUUCGGGUUGUAAACCGCUUUCGCCUGUGACGAAGCGUGAGGGACGGUAAUGGGUAAAGAAGCACCGGCUAACUACGU
RNAcentral lists this ribosomal RNA (467 nucleotides) under uncultured bacterium. Its description in RNAcentral is "partial 16S ribosomal RNA". It matches the Rfam family "Bacterial small subunit ribosomal RNA", at positions 28 to 506 of the family's 1533-position model. The record is from RNAcentral.